This 253-nucleotide ribosomal RNA is filed under the name uncultured bacterium. RNAcentral's name for it is "partial 16S ribosomal RNA". It matches the Rfam family "Bacterial small subunit ribosomal RNA", at positions 524 to 776 of the family's 1533-position model. The record is from RNAcentral.
UACAGAGGUCUCAAGCGUUGUUCGGAUUCAUUGGGCGUAAAGGGUGCGUAGGUGGUGAUGCAAGUCUGGUGUGAAAUCUCGAAGCUCAACUCCGAAAUUGCACCGGAUACUGCGUGACUCGAGGACUGUAGAGGAGAUCGGAAUUCACGGUGUAGCAGUGAAAUGCGUAGAUAUCGUGAGGAAGACCAGUUGCGAAGGCGGAUCUCUGGGCAGUUCCUGACACUGAGGCACGAAGGCCAGGGGAGCAAACGGG